Molecule: ribosomal RNA, 497 nt
Filed under: uncultured bacterium
Lineage: Bacteria
Description: partial 16S ribosomal RNA
Rfam family: Bacterial small subunit ribosomal RNA
Source: RNAcentral
GAUGAACGCUGGCGGCGUGCCUAAUACAUGCAGGUCGAGCGAACAGACGAGGAGCUUGCUCCUCUGACGUUAGCGGCGGACGGGUGAGUAACACGUGGAUAACCUACCUAUAAGACUGGGAUAACUUCGGGAAACCGGAGCUAAUACCGGAUAAUAUAUUGAACCGCAUGGUUCAAUAGUGAAAGACGGUUUUGCUGUCACUUAUAGAUGGAUCCGCGCCGCAUUAGCUAGUUGGUAAGGUAACGGCUUACCAAGACAACGAUGCGUAGCCGACCUGAGAGGGUGAUCGGCCACACUGGAACUGAGACACGGUCCAGACUCCUACGGGAGGCAGCAGUAGGGAAUCUUCCGCAAUGGGCGAAAGCCUGACGGAGCAACGCCGCGUGAGUGAUGAAGGUCUUCGGAUCGUAAAACUCUGUUAUUAGGGAAGAACAAAUGUGUAAGUAACUAUGCACGUCUUGACGGUACCUAAUCAGAAAGCCACGGCUAACUACGUG